AUUUAUCUACUCGAAUGAUACAUCAUUUUUGUUGAGGAAAUAAAAGCCCAGACUCUGAGUGGGAGUAUGAUACAGGCGCUGUAGGUGUUGGAAAUCUGGUGUCCUGGAUAUCAAUACUGUGAAGAAUGUGUUGUGUCCUAUAGAGGCAGAUAUAUCCUACAAAAUAUCCAAUCUCCAAGAGAUGGAUGGGAAAAUAUAACUUAUCAUGUAAAGGCUUCAAUUCUUAAUGUAUUUAAAGAAAGAAUUUAUAAUGCAUACUUUGGUAUAUAUAGCAAUUUAUUAUUCUUUGUUGAGUUGUUUCCUACCUUCUACUUGCUGUUUGUAAUGAUGAAAAAAAGAAGGGGUUAUUAUUAUCAUGUUUCAAUGAAAACCGUAUGGUCUACGCCUUCUCUUUGGUUUGGUAAUUAUUCUU
This is a long non-coding RNA of Harmonia axyridis, 412 nucleotides long. RefSeq lists it as uncharacterized. The record is from RefSeq and is a predicted model, not a curated record. NCBI's taxonomy places the organism in Eukaryota, Metazoa, Arthropoda, Insecta, Coleoptera, Coccinellidae. The transcript is spliced from 2 exons.